Molecule: ribosomal RNA, 265 nt
Filed under: uncultured archaeon
Lineage: Archaea
Description: partial 16S ribosomal RNA
Rfam family: Archaeal small subunit ribosomal RNA
Source: RNAcentral
AGACGUCUACAUUAGAUACCCGCGUAGUCCCAGCCGUAAACUAUGCGCGUUAGGUGUAUCGGUGACCACGAGUCACCGAGGUGCCGAAGGGAAACCGUGAAACGUGCCGCCUGGGAAGUACGGUCGCAAGGCUGAAACUUAAAGGAAUUGGCGGGGGAGCACCACAACAGGUGGAGCCUGCGGUUUAAUUGGACUCAACGCCGGGAAGCUCACCGGAUAGGACAGCAGAAUGAUUGCCGGGCUGAAGACCCUGCAUGACUAGCUG